RNAcentral lists this ribosomal RNA (739 nucleotides) under Rothia sp. (in: high G+C Gram-positive bacteria). Its description in RNAcentral is "bacterial SSU rRNA". It matches the Rfam family "Bacterial small subunit ribosomal RNA", at positions 800 to 1533 of the family's 1533-position model. Lineage: Bacteria; Bacillati; Actinomycetota; Actinomycetes; Micrococcales; Micrococcaceae. The record is from RNAcentral.
UGGGCGAAGUUGGGCCUAGGUGUGGGGACAUUCCACGUUUUCCGCGCCGUAGCUAACGCAUUAAGUGCCCCGCCUGGGGAGUACGGCCGCAAGGCUAAAACUCAAAGAAAUUGACGGGGGCCCGCACAAGCGGCGGAGCAUGCGGAUUAAUUCGAUGCAACGCGAAGAACCUUACCAAGGCUUGACAUAUACUAGACCGCCUCAGAGAUGGGGUUUCCCUUCGGGGCUGGUAUACAGGUGGUGCAUGGUUGUCGUCAGCUCGUGUCGUGAGAUGUUGGGUUAAGUCCCGCAACGAGCGCAACCCUCGUUCUAUGUUGCCAGCACGUAAUGGUGGGGACUCAUAGGAGACUGCCGGGGUUAACUCGGAGGAAGGUGGGGAUGACGUCAAAUCAUCAUGCCCCUUAUGUCUUGGGCUUCACGCAUGCUACAAUGGCCGGUACAAAGGGUUGCGAUACUGUGAGGUUGAGCUAAUCCCAAAAAGCCGGUCUCAGUUCGGAUUGGGGUCUGCAACUCGACCCCAUGAAGUCGGAGUCGCUAGUAAUCGCAGAUCAGCAACGCUGCGGUGAAUACGUUCCCGGGCCUUGUACACACCGCCCGUCAAGUCACGAAAGUUGGUAACACCCGAAGCCGAUGGCCUAACCCCUUGUGGGAGGGAGUCGUCGAAGGUGGGAUUGGCGAUUGGGACUAAGUCGUCAAAGGGGGAACCCAAAAAAAAAAAAAGGAAGGGGACCCCCAUGAA